GGGGAUAUAGCUCAGUUGGUAGAGUACUUGCCUUGCAUGCACAAGGCCCUGGGUUCAAUCCCCAGCACCCCCC
RNAcentral lists this transfer RNA (73 nucleotides) under Marmota marmota marmota (Alpine marmot). It matches the Rfam family "tRNA". From Rfam's summary of the family: Transfer RNA (tRNA) molecules are approximately 80 nucleotides in length. Their secondary structure includes four short double-helical elements and three loops (D, anti-codon, and T loops). Lineage: Eukaryota; Metazoa; Chordata; Mammalia; Rodentia; Sciuridae. RNAcentral also lists the same sequence under 1 other name. The record is from Rfam by way of RNAcentral.